This 59-nucleotide small RNA is filed under the name Notechis scutatus (mainland tiger snake). Its description in RNAcentral is "7SK RNA (ENSNSUG00000001142.1)". The record is from RNAcentral. Lineage: Eukaryota; Metazoa; Chordata; Lepidosauria; Squamata; Elapidae.
AUCUGCUCACCCUAUUGAUCCCCAGGGUUGAUUGGACUGAUCUGGAUGGCUAGGUGGGU